GGAGAGGUGACCGAGCGGUUUAAGGUGCACGCUUGGAAAGCGUGUGUACGUGAAAGCGUACCGAGGGUUCGAAUCCCUCCCUCUCCGCCA
Molecule: transfer RNA, 90 nt
Filed under: Candidatus Hydrogenedentes bacterium ADurb.Bin101
Lineage: Bacteria; Pseudomonadati; Candidatus Hydrogenedentota
Also listed under: 2 other names
Description: tRNA-Ser
Rfam family: tRNA
About the family: Transfer RNA (tRNA) molecules are approximately 80 nucleotides in length. Their secondary structure includes four short double-helical elements and three loops (D, anti-codon, and T loops).
Source: RNAcentral